This 497-nucleotide ribosomal RNA is filed under the name uncultured bacterium. Its description in RNAcentral is "partial 16S ribosomal RNA". It matches the Rfam family "Bacterial small subunit ribosomal RNA", at positions 28 to 507 of the family's 1533-position model. The record is from RNAcentral.
GACGAACGCUGGCGGCGUGCCUAAUACAUGCAAGUAGAACGCUGAAGAGAGGAGCUUACUCUUCUUGGAUGAGUUGCGAACGGGUGAGUAACGCGUAGGUAACCUGCCUUGUAGCGGGGGAUAACUAUUGGAAACGAUAGCUAAUACCGCAUAACAAUGGAUGACACAUGUCAUUUAUUUGAAAGGGGCAAUUGCUCCACUACAAGAUGGACCUGCGUUGUAUUAGCUAGUAGGUGAGGUAAUGGCUCACCUAGGCGACGAUACAUAGCCGACCUGAGAGGGUGAUCGGCCACCCUGGGACUGAGACACGGCCCAGACUCCUACGGGAGGCAGCAGUAGGGAAUCUUCGGCAAUGGGGGCAACCCUGACCGAGCAACGCCGCGUGAGUGAAGAAGGUUUUCGGAUCGUAAAGCUCUGUUGUAAGUCAAGAACGGGUGUGAGAGUGGAAAGUUCACACUGUGACGGUAGCUUACCAGAAAGGGACGGCUAACUACGUG